Long non-coding RNA from Hibiscus syriacus, 3256 nucleotides. RefSeq lists it as uncharacterized. The record is from RefSeq and is a predicted model, not a curated record. The transcript has 5 exons. Lineage: Eukaryota; Viridiplantae; Streptophyta; Magnoliopsida; Malvales; Malvaceae.
UUGCAAUGUGUUUGCGCAAUCAAUUGAUAUCCCUUUUACCUUGGAAAGUAUAAGGACUAAAUAAUCUGAAUUUGCAAUUUAUAUGUAAUACAAGGACUAAUAGCAGAAAUUAACCAAAAUGUAAGUCCAUUACCGCCCUUUUUUGGUAGGUCUAAUUCCCAAUUUCCACUCCCACCAUUUGUACUCUCUCUCUCUGAUUUUGUCGCAAAACUCAUAUCUCCCCUCUGUUGGCAUCGCUUCAACGCCUCAGGUAAUCUUUCCUUCUCUUCUAAUUCUUUCAACUAUUAUUAUUUACUUCAAACUCUAAUAGAUCUAUUGCUAAAAUCAUCUUAAAUUUCAGUCCACAUUGCUAAGCUUGCGCGGUUCUUAGUUUUUUAUGUUUGAUUUUAAAAAUGUUAAAAUUUUAUGAUAAAAUUUCUAGUUAGUGGCAGGGAAGAUGAUUGGACAUGCUCCAGUUGUGUGAAUAUCAAUUUUCAUUUAAGAUUACUUGUACUCUAUGCAUAGUUGCACUCAACCUAGGCCAGCCAAUAAUAAUUCUGCAAGUCUUUCUCUUAUAUCUCAAUGUUCUCUAUAUUUCUUUCAAAAAUAUUUUGUUUAUAUAUUUCUAGAUAUUAAUCAUUGUUUCUAAAAUUAAGUUGGUAAUUUUGUUUUUGUGUUUUUGCUCAUUACCUCUUUCACUGUUCGAGGACAUGAAUGGGUAAUCCAGAAAUAGGUCAGACCAGUCUCAGGCAGUUCAAAAUUUUAAACUAAAUACAGAAACCAGAGAAACCAAAGCAUAGACUAAAUAUUAUGAUUUAAAAAUAAUAGUUCACUGCUCAGUUAGAAACUAACCAAGGAAAAGAACUGUAGAGUAUAAGCAUUCAUAGGGGACAUUGCCUUCGUGAGCUUUUCCCUUUGGGGACAUCUGAUAAAAUUGGAACGAUACAGAGAAGAUUAGCAUGGCCCCUCUAACACGCACAAAUAGAAAUGGUCCAAGUUUUUUUCCCCUACUUUUACAGCUAUGUUUCCUUCUCAUUUUCGCUUCAGAAUUUUUAGUUCUUUUUUUGUUUAUCUUAUCUUUCUGAUCAUGGUUUGAUGUUCAUCUUCAUGGGGUUCUUUCACUUCAGACUGUAGAUUAGAGCUUUUCUGGGCUUGAUCUGUUUUAACUCUCUCCAACAGUGAAUACCUCAAUAGCCAUCUGUUUGCUAUCUGUAUCAAAGACCUAAACCAUGUUGUUCUACCAUGUGCUAAACAUGCAUGUCAAAAUCUGGACUAAAUACAUGAAAAAUUAGCUUCACCUUAUAAGGUUGUUCCAGUUUCUAAAUGCAAGAAUCAAGCCAUUUUUUACUCACAAGUCACACCUAAACAUUAAGGGUUGACAUUUGGUUAUUCUGGAUAUGAUGGAUGAAGACAACAAAAUACUUGAGAAGUGAAUACAGUGACGUUGCAUUCGAGGCUGUCAGCACUGCAUUGAUGGAAAUGAAUGGAUAUAAUGCAAAUGGAAGGUAUGCAGUCCCUGAUUUUUGGCAGAACAUAAAGAAGGAAAGUCACCACCAUGAAAGAAAUCAUUGACUGCAUAAUCAUACAAUUGAAGAUUCAUAAGGAUAAAUGAAAACAUACCCUAUGGUUUUGCUUUGGCUAUUUUCAUCGUAUGCUUAUCUAUCCAUUACUUUCAUUGAUGUUUCUCUCUUUACAGAGAGCGUUACUACAAAGUUACUGCAGUGUCUGAUAUUUAUCAAACUGGUUGUUCAUGCUCGAAAAAAACAAGCAUCAUAUAUUCUUCAUUACUUGUUCCACCCUGAAAAUAACCGGAUAUGUUAACUUUACUUAUGUGCACUCAUGCAUCAUAUGUUCUUCAUUAUUUGUUCCACCUUAUAUAACGGAAUCUGCACAUUACUGGAGUUCUCUUUCUUGUGGCAAUGAUACUUAAAUGAUGUUGAAACUAAAGCUAUGUUUAUUUAUCAACAAAUCAGAGUGGCGCAGCGGAAGCGUGGAUGGUCCAUAACCCACAAGUUCCAGGAUUGAAAUCUGACUCUGAUAUUUUAAGUUUGCACUUUCCUUUUCAAUAUUUUUCUUCUUCUUUUUUUCACUUCAGAUUGCAGUUUAGAGUGUUUUCUGGGUUUGUUUAUCUAUUUGAUUUUGCACAUUUUUCUGGGUUUGAUGUUCAUCAUCACGGGCCUUGUGCACCUAAGAUUGCACUUUGAGUUUUUGUUUCUGGGUUCGGUCUGUUUACUCUCUGAAACAGUGAAUACAGCAAAUUCUUUUAAUUCCCAUUUGAGAUUGAUGUUAUUGAAUUAGCUUCUUCUUUUUUAUUUUGUUAUUUUAUUAUUUACAUCAAACUCUAAUAGAUCUAUUGCUAAAAUCAUUUUAAAUCUCAUUCGCCUUGCUAAGCUUGCCUCGUUCCUAGUUUUUAUUUAUUUAUGUUCUAGUUUUUGGUUUUCGAUUUUGAAAAUGUUAAAAGUUUAUGCUUAAAUUUCUAGUUAGUGGCAGGGAGGAUGAUUGGACAUGCUCUAGUUGUGUGAAUAUCAAUUUUCAUUUAGGACUACUUGAAAUAUUCACAGUUGCACUCAAACAAUGCCAGCCGAAAUCCAAUCAUUCAAAAAUUUCACUUUUAUCCAACAAGACAAUUAACGGAGAUACAAUCGGUCAAUGUCUGCAAUUUUACAUUAGUAUUAAGAACAAACUAUGAGAAAAGUAUCAACAUCAACUAUCUUUUUAGGACAAAGUACAGCAGACAAAAUUAUGGAGCUGACAAACCAUCAAAGAAACCCCCUCAGCAACGUCAAAUGAAAAUGAUGAGGAAUCUAGGACAUAUCUGAGCGUUGAGAAGGUCUGGGGGUGUCGUAGCAGUGCUCAAUAUGGGUUGUGAUUGUCAAUUUUUGAAUUAGGACUACCUGCAAUACAUAGGAGUUGCACUCAUCCAAGGCCAGCUGAUUAUAAUUUCAGGAUAAGCCCUCACUUUAUCUUGAUGUUUCUAUUGAAUGUAAGACAAUCGGAUGCAGUGGUAAGCUCACUUAUUUAGAAGUUUAUAUUCAAUUGAAUUUCGAGGAAAAAAAAGACUACAAGAAUGGUUUAUAUUCAGUUCAUGCUUGCAUCGGCAAAUGAUGCUAGUAAUCCGGAGGACUAUACAUCAUAAUGUGAACCUGGAUCAGUCCCAUGGACUUUACUUGCAGUCUCUUAACAGUAGCAUGUGGUGGAUGAAACCCUGGCAAUCCUCUUCUGUACCCUACAUUAUAUCAUUUACUCAUCCAAUUAGGUCUUAAGUCUUGACCAUAAU